RNAcentral lists this ribosomal RNA (253 nucleotides) under uncultured bacterium. RNAcentral describes it as "partial 16S ribosomal RNA". It matches the Rfam family "Bacterial small subunit ribosomal RNA", at positions 524 to 776 of the family's 1533-position model. The record is from RNAcentral.
UACGUAGGGUGCAAGCGUUAAUCGGAAUUACUGGGCGUAAAGCGUGCGCAGGCGGUUUUGUAAGUCUGACGUGAAAUCCCUCGGCCCAACCGAGGAACUGCGCCCGAGACUGCUUCUCUUGAGUCCCGGAGAGGAAGAUGGAAUUCCCGGUGUAGCGGUGAAAUGUGUAGAGAUCGGGAGGAACACCGGUGGCGAAGGCGGUCUUCUGGACGGUGACUGACGCUGAGGCGCGAAAGCGUGGGGAGCAAACGGG